RNAcentral lists this transfer RNA (85 nucleotides) under Alphaproteobacteria bacterium. Its description in RNAcentral is "tRNA-Leu". It matches the Rfam family "tRNA". Rfam says of the family: Transfer RNA (tRNA) molecules are approximately 80 nucleotides in length. Their secondary structure includes four short double-helical elements and three loops (D, anti-codon, and T loops). Lineage: Bacteria; Pseudomonadati; Pseudomonadota; Alphaproteobacteria. RNAcentral also lists the same sequence under 1 other name. The record is from RNAcentral.
GCGGGCGUGGUGGAAUUGGUAGACACAAGGGACUUAAAAUCCCUCGGCUUCGGCCAUGCCGGUUCAAGUCCGGCCGCCCGCACCA